This 295-nucleotide unclassified non-coding RNA is filed under the name uncultured Helotiales. Its description in RNAcentral is "sequence contains ITS1". The stretch from base 1 to 105 matches the Rfam family "5.8S ribosomal RNA", at positions 50 to 154 of the family's 154-position model. Lineage: Eukaryota; Fungi; Ascomycota; Leotiomycetes; Helotiales. The record is from RNAcentral.
GAAAUGCGAUAAGUAAUGUGAAUUGCAGAAUUCAGUGAAUCAUCGAAUCUUUGAACGCACAUUGCGCCCUCUGGUAUUCCGGGGGGCAUGCCUGUUCGAGCGUCAUUACAACCCUCAAGCUCUGCUUGGUAUUGGGCGUCACCAGUUCUGGUGUGCCUUAAAAUCAGUGGCGGUGCCAUUCGGCUUCAAGCGUAGUAAUUUCUCUCGCUCUGGAGACCGGGUGCGUGCUUGCCAGCAACCCCCAAUUUUAUCAAAGGUUGACCUCGGAUCAGGUAGGGAUACCCGCUGAACUUAA